RNAcentral lists this microRNA precursor (221 nucleotides) under Arabidopsis suecica. RNAcentral's name for it is "MIR854". It matches the Rfam family "MIR854 microRNA precursor family". Lineage: Eukaryota; Viridiplantae; Streptophyta; Magnoliopsida; Brassicales; Brassicaceae. The record is from RNAcentral.
UGGAUGAAGACAGAGUAGUGGAGUUCGACACUAGCAUGUAUCAUUUUGAUGAACAUGUACCUCCAGCGAGGGAGAGCAAAUGCUUCAGUGAGGCUCAUAGGAACAAUAGUAAGCUGUAGAGGUGGUGCAAGAAGCAGGACAAGCUGCUCGCCAAGUGUUUCAAGACUAUCAAGUUUCUGACAGAUAAGUUGAGCUGUUCCUCUUCUACUACAACUAUUUUG